CCUUCGAUAGCUCAGUUGGUAGAGCGGUGGACUGUAGAGAGAUGGCGAGUCGCAAUAGUAAUCCAUAGGUCACUGGUUCAAAUCCGGUUCGAAGGA
RNAcentral lists this transfer RNA (96 nucleotides) under Anopheles christyi. RNAcentral's name for it is "tRNA tRNA-Tyr". It matches the Rfam family "tRNA". From Rfam's summary of the family: Transfer RNA (tRNA) molecules are approximately 80 nucleotides in length. Lineage: Eukaryota; Metazoa; Arthropoda; Insecta; Diptera; Culicidae. The record is from RNAcentral.